CCUACGGGUGGCAGCAGUGGGGAAUAUUGCACAAUGGGGGAAACCCUGAUGCAGCGACGCCGCGUGAGUGAAGAAGUCAUUCUUUAUGUAAAGCUGUAUCAGCAGGGAAGAAAAUUACGGUACCUGAGUAUGAUUCCCCGGCUAACUACGAGACAGCAGCCGCGGUACCACGCAGGGGGCAAGCGUUAUCCGGAUUUACUGGGUGUAAGGGGAGCGUAGGCGGUAGUGAAAGUGUGGAGUGAAAGGCGGGGGCUCAACCGCCGGCCUGCUCUGGAAACUGGGCGGCUGGAGUGCGGGAGAGGUAAGUGGAAUUCGUGGUGUAGCGGUGAAAUGCGUAGAUAUCAGGAGGAACACCAGUGGCGAAGGCGGCUUACUGGACUGUAACUGACGUUGAGGCUCGAAGGCGUGGGGAGCGAACAGGAUUAGAUACCCUGGUAGUC
Molecule: ribosomal RNA, 440 nt
Filed under: uncultured bacterium
Lineage: Bacteria
Description: partial 16S ribosomal RNA
Rfam family: Bacterial small subunit ribosomal RNA
Source: RNAcentral